CGGGGAUUAGCUCAGAUGGCUAGAGUGCCUGGUUUGGGACCAGGAGGUCGCGAGUUCGAGUCCCGCAUCCCCGA
Molecule: transfer RNA, 74 nt
Filed under: candidate division SR1 bacterium RAAC1_SR1_1
Lineage: Bacteria; Candidatus Absconditibacteriota
Also listed under: 3 other names
Description: tRNA-Pro (TGG) (tRNA-Pro-TGG-1-1)
Rfam family: tRNA
About the family: Transfer RNA (tRNA) molecules are approximately 80 nucleotides in length. Their secondary structure includes four short double-helical elements and three loops (D, anti-codon, and T loops).
Source: Rfam by way of RNAcentral